This 479-nucleotide ribosomal RNA is filed under the name uncultured bacterium. RNAcentral describes it as "bacterial SSU rRNA". It matches the Rfam family "Bacterial small subunit ribosomal RNA", at positions 53 to 518 of the family's 1533-position model. The record is from RNAcentral.
ACAUGCAAGUCGAACGGUAACAGGAAGCAGCUUGCUGCUUCGGCUGACGAGUGGCGGACGGGUGAGUAAUGUCUGGGAAACUGCCUGAUGGAGGGGGAUAACGUACUGGAAACGGUAGCUAAUACCGCAUAACGUCGCAAGACCAAAGAGGGGGACCUUCGGGCCUCUUGCCAUCAGAUGUGCCCAGAUGGGAUUAGCUUGUUGGUGGGGUAACGGCUCACCAAGGCGACGAUCCCUAGCUGGUCUGAGAGGAUGACCAGCCACACUGGAACUGAGACACGGUCCAGACUCCUACGGGAGGCAGCAGUGGGGAAUAUUGCACAAUGGGCGCAAGCCUGAUGCAGCCAUGCCGCGUGUAAUGAAGAAGGCCUUCGGGUUGUAAAGUACUUUCAGCGGGGAGGAAGGUGUUGUGGUUAAUAACCGCAGCAAUUGACGUUACCCGCAGAAGAAGCACCGGCUAACUCCGUGCCAGCAGCCGC